GGUGCAUUGAUAAUUUCGGAGGUUAACACUCUAAACAGCUCAGGUACGGAUCCCCGCAAAACGUCGACAGGUUGUAAAGGCGGCUGCAUGCUUCAGCGUUGGUGUUACGUUGUUGCGCAAAAUUUACUCAAAGCAAUUCAUGCUCCCUUUUAGGUUGCGCGUGUUGCGCGUGUUGCCAAGCAAUUUACCGCCAGAACAGCAGGUGGAGUAAAGUUUUUCGUUGAAGACGACCUCGAGAAUGACGUCUUUGUCUGUGGGAGUCGUUGGUUUGUUUAUGUGCCAAAGUUUGAUGAUCUCCUUUCGCGAGUCAUCCGAUAUCUUCCCGACUCUCACCAAAACCGGCCCUUGUCA
Molecule: long non-coding RNA, 351 nt
Organism: Gadus macrocephalus (Pacific cod)
Lineage: Eukaryota; Metazoa; Chordata; Actinopteri; Gadiformes; Gadidae
Exons: 2
Source: RefSeq, a predicted model, not a curated record